Molecule: ribosomal RNA, 226 nt
Filed under: uncultured bacterium
Lineage: Bacteria
Description: partial 16S ribosomal RNA
Rfam family: Bacterial small subunit ribosomal RNA
Source: RNAcentral
GCGUUGUCCGAAGUUACUGGGCGUAAAGCGCGCGUAGGCGGGUCCUUAAGUCUGCUGUGAAAGCCCGGGGCUUAACUCCGGAGGGUCGGUGGAUACUGGGGAUCUUGAAGUUGCUAGGGGGAGAUGGAAUUACCGGUGUAGCGGUGAAAUGCGUAGAUAUCGGUAGGAACACCAGUGGCGAAGGCGGUCUCCUGGGGCACACUUGACGCUGAGGCGCGAAAGCUGG